CUCGACCACCACCAACGUAGGUCCUCUCUCUCUUCUCCCCACCACCAAUACUGAUUUUCUAUCCGGCGUUUCAUCGUCUUUUUUCUUGUGAAGAGAGAGUGAGAUGGGAGCGGAGAAAGCAGAGGCGUCGUUGGAUUCGUUGAUCACCGGGUUCAACAGUCAGAUCUCAGAGCUCCAAGAGCUCGUUAUUGCUCGAAAUAUGCUCAAGCUCAGAUAUAUGGGUUAAUUUCAUUUCUGGUGGCUGGAGAAAAC
Rosa chinensis is the source of this 252-nucleotide long non-coding RNA. RefSeq lists it as uncharacterized. The record is from RefSeq and is a predicted model, not a curated record. The transcript is spliced from 2 exons. NCBI's taxonomy places the organism in Eukaryota, Viridiplantae, Streptophyta, Magnoliopsida, Rosales, Rosaceae.